This is a long non-coding RNA of Triticum aestivum (bread wheat), 1181 nucleotides long. RefSeq lists it as uncharacterized. The transcript is spliced from 5 exons. NCBI's taxonomy places the organism in Eukaryota, Viridiplantae, Streptophyta, Magnoliopsida, Poales, Poaceae. The record is from RefSeq and is a predicted model, not a curated record.
GUCUAAUUUUCUUCUUCUUCUUAUCCCUUCCCACCGCUCCCCCAUUCCAUGGUGGCCGCCCCUCACUUCCAUUCCUUUCGUCCCCGCCGCCGGCGCGAGGCCUCACCUGCUCUCCCCACUGCUUCCUCUCCCCGGCACGCAGUCGCACGCCGCAUCCUCUCCCGCCACAUCGUCGCCCAGCGCAUCCUCUCCCCCUCCCCACGGCCUUGCGCCGCCGCCUCCUCUCCCCACCAUAACCUCGCCUUGCCGCUAACACCGUCGGCCUUCCCUAGAUCGACUCUGCCGUCGCCGUACACAUGUCCCAGCGCAGAUCCAGAUGCGAGCUAGAGGAGCGUGCUGGACACGAUGCGGGAGCAGGCAUCUCGGAGCGGCCCGAGGUUCAGUGCGUCUCGUGCCCCUGUGAUAGUCGGCCUCGUGCUUGGCUCCCACAUUCAAUCCGGGAAGGCGCUCGCAGCUCGCUUACGUGCUCGACUACUCCAGUUACUUGAUGGAUUCAGGCUACUAUAAGAAAUGGCAACUUGGGGCAUGACUUGCAAGAAAGGGAUUCUAUGACAGAAUGACAUUGCUUCAUGGUUUCGGGGUAUGUAGAGAAUGUGAUGUUUAGAAAAAUCUGGGCAACAGCAGCAUUUCCAAGGUGACAAAUAUGUUCUUAUUUUGGCUUGAGACAUUGAAGAGGGGAUGUCUGGCCAUGAAGCCACCUUAUUGUGAUCGCCAUUGUAUAAUGUCUUUGUUGGGGUAUCUGCUUCUUUCAUGCUUGGAAACAUUGAUGAGGGGAUGUCUGUCCACAAAAUAUGUAAAUACCUCAGGAGGAGCACGGGCAGACGAGUUCCAGCGAAGACAGCAGAGGCGAGAGUGGAAGCUUGCGGCACGGCAAUGUCGAGCCUAAGUCAAGCCAGACUGAAAGUAGAUGAGGUUAGUGCCACCAGAACACUUAAAUUCUAGUCGAAUCAUUGCAUCUAUUUUUUCCUUGUCAAUAAUGGUGUUUAAAUAUGAUUCAAUUUGUCGCAUAUAAAUGUUGUAAAUUUCUUGCUCAAAGUAAACUUUGAUAUACUACUUGUUUGGAUAUUCCAAAUCGCUGAUGAUACAUGUCAUUUUUUCAUUACAGGUACCAGUGUUCAUAGACAUGUUGAAGGAUGUCGUAUAUGGUAACAGUUAACAAAAAUACCUGAUGUAAAGCUGAC